RNAcentral lists this ribosomal RNA (33 nucleotides) under Cylindrocladiella peruviana. RNAcentral's name for it is "partial 28S ribosomal RNA". The record is from RNAcentral. RNAcentral also lists the same sequence under 1 other name. Lineage: Eukaryota; Fungi; Ascomycota; Sordariomycetes; Hypocreales; Nectriaceae.
GACCUCGAAUCAGGUAGGAUUACCCGCUGAACU